CCUACGGGAGGCAGCAGUAGGGAAUUUUCGGCAAUGGGGGCAACCCUGACCGAGCCACGCCGCGUGAACGAAGAAGUUACUCGUAAUGUAAAGUUCUUUUUACAGGGAAGAAAGAGAAAUUUGACGGUACCUGAAGAAUAAGCUCCGGCUAACUACGUGCCAGCAGCCGCGGUAAUACGUAGGGGGCAUGCGUUAUCCGGAUUUACUGGGUGUAAAGGGAGCGUAGACGGUGCGCCAAGUCUGGAGUGAAAGUCCGCAGCUUAACUGCGAAACUGCUUUGGAUACUGGCGAACUAGAGUGCGGGAGGGGUAAGCGGAAUUCGUGGUGUAGCGGUGAAAUGCGUAGAUAUUAGGAGGAACACCGGUGGCGAAGGCGGCUUACUGGACCGUAACUGACGUUGAGGCUCGAAAGCGUGGGGAGCAAACAGGAUUAGAUACCCGAGUAGUC
RNAcentral lists this ribosomal RNA (447 nucleotides) under uncultured bacterium. RNAcentral describes it as "partial 16S ribosomal RNA". It matches the Rfam family "Bacterial small subunit ribosomal RNA", at positions 338 to 795 of the family's 1533-position model. The record is from RNAcentral.